GCGCGGGUGGCGGAACUGGUAUACGCGCUAGCUUGAGGAGCUAGUUCCGAGAGGAUUGCGAGUUCGAAUCUCGCCCCGCGCACCA
This 85-nucleotide transfer RNA is filed under the name Candidatus Omnitrophota bacterium. RNAcentral's name for it is "tRNA-Leu". It matches the Rfam family "tRNA". Rfam says of the family: Transfer RNA (tRNA) molecules are approximately 80 nucleotides in length. Their secondary structure includes four short double-helical elements and three loops (D, anti-codon, and T loops). Lineage: Bacteria; Pseudomonadati; Candidatus Omnitrophota. The record is from RNAcentral.